This 450-nucleotide ribosomal RNA is filed under the name uncultured bacterium. RNAcentral's name for it is "partial 16S ribosomal RNA". It matches the Rfam family "Bacterial small subunit ribosomal RNA", at positions 338 to 795 of the family's 1533-position model. The record is from RNAcentral.
CCUACGGGCGGCUGCAGUGAGGAAUAUUGGUCAAUGGGCGCAAGCCUGAACCAGCCAUCCCGCGUGCAGGAAGACGGCCCUAUGGGUUGUAAACUGCUUUUCCAGGGGACGAAUAGUUUCUACGUGUAGAGACCUGACGGUACCUUGGGAAUAAGCAUCGGCUAACUCCGUGCCAGCAGCCGCGGUAAUACGGAGGAUGACAGCGUUAUCGGGAUUAAAGGGGUUUAAAGGGUGCGUAGGCGGAUGCGUUGAAAUCCUACAGCUUAACUGUAGAACUGCCAUUGAUACUGUUAGUCUUGAGUUUGGUUAAGGUAGGCGGAAUGUGUAAUGUAGCGGUGAAAUGCUUAGAUAUUACACAGAACACCAAUUGCGAAGGCAGCUUACUGGACCGACACUGACGCUGAGGCACGAAAGCGUGGGGAUCGAACAGGAUUAGAUACCCUAGUAGUC